AAGAAGGUGGCAGAGUGGCUAUGUGGCUGACUUGAAAUCAGUUGAUGGGGGUUCGAUUCCCUCCCUUCUCG
Molecule: transfer RNA, 71 nt
Filed under: Bombina variegata scabra
Lineage: Eukaryota; Metazoa; Chordata; Amphibia; Anura; Bombinatoridae
Description: tRNA-Ser
Rfam family: tRNA
About the family: Transfer RNA (tRNA) molecules are approximately 80 nucleotides in length. Their secondary structure includes four short double-helical elements and three loops (D, anti-codon, and T loops).
Source: RNAcentral